Rhincodon typus (whale shark) is the source of this 1182-nucleotide long non-coding RNA. RefSeq lists it as uncharacterized. Lineage: Eukaryota; Metazoa; Chordata; Chondrichthyes; Orectolobiformes; Rhincodontidae. The transcript has 4 exons. The record is from RefSeq and is a predicted model, not a curated record.
UUUGCUCACACACAGCUAAUAACCAGUGGCAGCAUGCAGUCAAUGAUAUAAGUGUGCAGUUCUGAUUUGAUGCUAAUGUGAUAAUUUCUGUUCAUCAAACACCAGCCUACUCCCUCUCUUAAGCAAGCAGAGCUGAAUAUUGUUGGACAGUACGAGGAACCCCAACACAAGCUAUGGUCCGUUCCCUUCCUUUUACCAUUAUUCGCUUCCAUGCCUUUCUUUUAUAUAAAGGAUCUUCUGUCAGUUCUUCCAGUAUUGAGGCCUUUUGAGGAAUACCAUUAAACUCUGAAGUAAACAACUCAACUUUGAAGCAUCUUCUGGAGCAACACUUCUAGAGCUGUUUAUUCAGAUGAGCAGAACUGCAUCUCUUAUCCCUGCAACUACAAGCUGGGAUAUCUCUAAUCACAGGUUCUUUGCAAGCAUUACUGAAAGAUCUAGCCACAGCAGAGAUGAUCAGUGCUGCUGCUGCGAUACAGUGAAAUCACAGAGUAAUGGAGGAACAAUGAACCAAUCAGUAAUCGCACAACCAACAGCAACCUCUAGGGAAGCCUCCAGAUGAGGUGGUCACAACUGAAAACCCUCUCAGAAUGUGUGGGGUUAUGGAAGGGCCAGUGUACUUUGUCCUCAAUGCCAUUUCCUCCAGAUGAUCAAAGUGCAGUGUGGGCACACACAGGAUAUUUUGGUUUACUGUCACUGAAUUAUGCCAACUGUUGGAGCAAGACCUGUAACAAGGAGGAAUGAUUGGCACCCUAUCAUAGUGGCCAUUAGGGUGACAGCUGCGCUGACUUUUAUGUAACUGGCUUCUUCCGAGGAGCUGCAGGGGACCUGUGUGGGCUCUUCCUGUUGUCCACUCACAAACGUAUCAAGGCUGUUACCAAUACCAUUUAUGUCUGAUCACACCACUUCAUCUUGUUUCCCCAUGAUGUUUCAGUGCCACAGCCCAGGCUAUAGGCUUUUCCAGCAUUUCUGAUCUUUCCCAGGUACGGGGUGCAAUAGACUGUACACACAUUGCUUUGAGAGCGCCAUGUCAUAAGAAGGCUGACUUCAUCAAUAGAAAAAGGUUCCAUUCUAGCAAUAAAUGUGGAUGUGUAUGCUGGUGGGAGCAUACACAUCCAGAAGAUCAUCAGACGUCAUUUCUGCCAUCUCCAGUGAGAUGCUACCACCAGACACAUAUUCCCCUCC